This is a long non-coding RNA of Eubalaena glacialis (North Atlantic right whale), 273 nucleotides long. RefSeq lists it as uncharacterized. The record is from RefSeq and is a predicted model, not a curated record. The transcript is spliced from 3 exons. Lineage: Eukaryota; Metazoa; Chordata; Mammalia; Artiodactyla; Balaenidae.
UUAGUGUUUCCACAGUGGAAAAGCUAUGAACCUCUACUGGACUUGGAAAUUACAUUACUUGAGAAUGCAGAGUGCAAGAAUGCUGGAGGCCUAGCUAACGUGAUCUUCUCUAAGGCAUUGAAAACACAAACAAGACAAAGAAAGAAGAAAACAAAAAUUGAUAGAAACAAGGAAUGAUGUGGCUAGCACGGAGGCAUCAGGAGCCCUCAGGACACUUCUGUGCUCUGAAAUGCACCCUGCACUGCAGCAUUAUGAAAGGAAAAAUGAAACAGU